CUCGGUGAUUGAAGCGAUUUGGACCGACCCGAUCCCAUUCCGAACUCGGAAGUCAAACAUUUUAGCGUCGACAAUACCUGAUUCGCGAGAUUCCGGGAAGAUAGAUCAUUGCCGGGG
RNAcentral lists this ribosomal RNA (117 nucleotides) under Candidatus Gottesmanbacteria bacterium. The record is from RNAcentral. Lineage: Bacteria; Candidatus Gottesmaniibacteriota.